This 496-nucleotide ribosomal RNA is filed under the name Bacillus subtilis. Its description in RNAcentral is "bacterial SSU rRNA". It matches the Rfam family "Bacterial small subunit ribosomal RNA", at positions 397 to 882 of the family's 1533-position model. The record is from RNAcentral. Lineage: Bacteria; Bacillati; Bacillota; Bacilli; Caryophanales; Bacillaceae.
CCGCGUGAGUGAUGAAGGUUUUCGGAUCGUAAAGCUCUGUUGUUAGGGAAGAACAAGUACCGUUCGAAUAGGGCGGUACCUUGACGGUACCUAACCAGAAAGCCACGGCUAACUACGUGCCAGCAGCCGCGGUAAUACGUAGGUGGCAAGCGUUGUCCGGAAUUAUUGGGCGUAAAGGGCUCGCAGGCGGUUUCUUAAGUCUGAUGUGAAAGCCCCCGGCUCAACCGGGGAGGGUCAUUGGAAACUGGGGAACUUGAGUGCAGAAGAGGAGAGUGGAAUUCCACGUGUAGCGGUGAAAUGCGUAGAGAUGUGGAGGAACACCAGUGGCGAAGGCGACUCUCUGGUCUGUAACUGACGCUGAGGAGCGAAAGCGUGGGGAGCGAACAGGAUUAGAUACCCUGGUAGUCCACGCCGUAAACGAUGAGUGCUAAGUGUUAGGGGGUUUCCGCCCCUUAGUGCUGCAGCUAACGCAUUAAGCACUCCGCCCUGGGGAGAG